UACGUAGGGUGCGAGCGUUGUCCGGAAUUAUUGGGCGUAAAGAGCUCGUAGGCGGCUUGUCGCGUCGGAUGUGAAAGCCCGGGGCUUAACUCCGGGUCUGCAUUCGAUACGGGCAGGCUAGAGUUCGGUAGGGGAGAUCGGAAUUCCUGGUGUAGCGGUGAAAUGCGCAGAUAUCAGGAGGAACACCAGCGGCGAAGGCGGCGCUCUGGGCCGGAACUGACACUGAGGAGCGAAAGCGUGGGUAGCAAACAGG
RNAcentral lists this ribosomal RNA (253 nucleotides) under uncultured bacterium. Its description in RNAcentral is "partial 16S ribosomal RNA". It matches the Rfam family "Bacterial small subunit ribosomal RNA", at positions 524 to 776 of the family's 1533-position model. The record is from RNAcentral.